CCGGACAACACUGAUUUUUUGGAGCUCCGCAAAUCAACGAUUUAUUGAGCCAUGCCCCUUCCCGCAGCCUUGCUGUGUCUCCUAGGCCUAUUACAGCACCUAGGCCUAGUCCAGGGGAACUCGAGCGGCGCCCCUGAAUCCGCCUGUGCCUGGAUGUCCCCCUGGCACGAGCCCUACACGGAGCCCCAGGCAGGUCCUUCGCCUUACUCUUUCAGGCUCUAUGAGAAGGAGCUGAUGGCGGGAGGGCUCGUGGCGGUCUGCCUGGUGGGAAACGAGCCUUUUUCCGGUUUCAUGAUCCAGGCGCAUGACGGAUCGGGCACUGUCAUGGGUACUUGGCCAGGCAGUCAGCUGACCUCCGCCGCUCAGCCGAUGUCAUGCGAGAAUCAGAAUGACACGGUGACCCACGUGAGCAGUGCCAUGAAACAACUGGUGCCUCUUAAGUGGCAGUCUCCCGUAGACUACGCGGGCGAUGUCGUUUUCAAGGCCGCUGUUGUGAAAGACUACACUACCUUCUGGACAGAUGUCACUUCGGGAACUUUUACACUCCGGGUCCCUUAAAAGAGGCGUUCAGCUUCUUUGAUAAAGUUACGGAAAAACAAGAAUAGAUUAGCUUUGUCACCUUGUACGUAAAUUACCUUUAUAAAUUUCGACCAAAGAACAAAUCUCCAGUUAAAUUGUAUUCAUAGUAAACUACUGUGCAUUAAUACACUACGACAAGCAUUG
This 723-nucleotide unclassified non-coding RNA is filed under the name Penaeus chinensis. RNAcentral's name for it is "putative defense protein 3, transcript variant X1". The record is from RNAcentral. Lineage: Eukaryota; Metazoa; Arthropoda; Malacostraca; Decapoda; Penaeidae.